UUUUUUUUUUUUAAUAAGCACAGGGUUUCACUAUGUUGCCCAGGCUAGUCUUGAACUCCUAAGCUCAAGCCAUCCACCCACCUCAGCCUCCGAAAGUGCUAGGAUUACAGGCGUGAGCCACCACACCCAGCCAUAUAUCCUGCAGUUUUGUUACUUAUUACUUCUAGAGUUGAGUGUUUUGUUUUUGUUUUUGUUGUUGUUGUUGUUUUGUUGUUGUUGUGUUGUUUUGUUUUGUUUUUGAGACAAAGUCACGCUCUGUUGCCCAGGCUGGAGUUCAGUGGCUCAUUCUCGGCUCACUGCAAGCUCCG
Molecule: long non-coding RNA, 308 nt
Filed under: Homo sapiens (human)
Lineage: Eukaryota; Metazoa; Chordata; Mammalia; Primates; Hominidae
Description: non-protein coding lnc-NPAS4-2:1
Source: RNAcentral